GAUGUCUUGCUCCUAUUCAAACAGAGUCUGCCUCCCUUGGACCUUGGGUUGUCAUCUGUCCUCACACUAUCUCUGGAGCUAGUCUCCUUCCUUGAAAGACUGUCUGUGGAUGACCCUGAGGCCCCUCCUCCACCUGCUGUCUUGUGACUACGUUCCAGCACUCAGAACAUCUGCACCAAGGCCGGCUGAACAGUGAACAUGUUCAUUGUGGGAACAUUUCACGUGAGCUCCACCUCCGUAUUCCCCCAGGGCAAGCUAAAUGGAAUACACACAUCAUCUCAGCAAGGCAUGGAUGGGGAAACCAAGGCAGAGAGAAACUCAGCAACACAACAACGGUGACACAGCAAGUGAGCAGCUGGGACAAACCCUGGGAGUCCUGUUUCCAACCCUCGCCCAGUACUGAAUCUUCUGAGUUAGGCAGAAUGUGUUAACAAGUAGCAGAAUAAAUAUAACAACAGCAGUAAUCA
Molecule: long non-coding RNA, 467 nt
Filed under: Ursus maritimus (polar bear)
Lineage: Eukaryota; Metazoa; Chordata; Mammalia; Carnivora; Ursidae
Description: lncRNA (ENSUMAG00000000706.1)
Source: RNAcentral